GACGAACGCUGGCGGCGUGCUUAACACAUGCAAGUCGAACGAAGUGGCGAACGGGUGAGUAACGCGUAAUCAACCUGCCCUUCAGAGGGUGACAACAGUUGGAAACGACUGCUAAUACCGCAUACUGAAGGAGGGGAUUGCGUCUGGUGAGCUAGUUGGAGGGGUACCGGCCCACCAAGGCGAUGAUCAGUAGCCGGGCUGAGAUGAGUAACGGCCACAUUGGGACUGAGACACGGCCCAGACUCCUACGGGAGGCAGCAGUGGGGAAUCGUCCGAAAUGGACGACAGUCUGACGGAGCAACGCCGCGUUGGUGAUGACGGCCUUCGGGUUGUAAAGCUCUGUUAAUCGGGACGCGGUACCGGAAUAGAAAGCCACGGCUAACUACGUGCCAGCCGCCGCGGUAAUAC
Molecule: ribosomal RNA, 408 nt
Filed under: uncultured bacterium
Lineage: Bacteria
Description: partial 16S ribosomal RNA
Rfam family: Bacterial small subunit ribosomal RNA
Source: RNAcentral